UUUCUACUCCCUCCGUCCGAAAAUACUUGUCAUCAAAAUGGAUAAAAAGAGAUGUAUCUAAAACUAAAAUACGUCUAGAUACAUUUCCUUUUAUCCAUUUUGAUGCCAAAUAUUUCCGGACGGAGGGAGUAUUUG
Molecule: non-coding RNA, 135 nt
Organism: Triticum aestivum (bread wheat)
Lineage: Eukaryota; Viridiplantae; Streptophyta; Magnoliopsida; Poales; Poaceae
Source: Rfam